UACAGAGGUCCCGAGCGUUAGGCGGAAUCACUGGGCUUAAAGCGCGUGUAGGCGGCCCUGCAAGUCGGAUGUGAAAUCCCACGGCUCAACCGUGGAAGUGCAUUCGAAACUGCAGGGCUAGAGUCCUGGAGAGGAAGGUGGAAUGCUUGGUGUAGAGGUGAAAUUCGUAGAUAUCAAGCGGAACACCGGUGGCGAAGGCGGCCUUCUGGACAGUGACUGACGCUGAGACGCGAAAGCGUGGGGAGCAAACAGG
RNAcentral lists this ribosomal RNA (253 nucleotides) under uncultured bacterium. RNAcentral describes it as "partial 16S ribosomal RNA". It matches the Rfam family "Bacterial small subunit ribosomal RNA", at positions 524 to 776 of the family's 1533-position model. The record is from RNAcentral.